RNAcentral lists this ribosomal RNA (227 nucleotides) under uncultured bacterium. RNAcentral describes it as "partial 16S ribosomal RNA". It matches the Rfam family "Bacterial small subunit ribosomal RNA", at positions 109 to 334 of the family's 1533-position model. The record is from RNAcentral.
AGUAACGCGUGGUCAACCUACCGUUGAAUGGGGGAUAACUAGCCGAAAGGUUAGCUAAUACCGCAUACGAUCUUUCGAAGGCAUCUUUGAAAGAUGAAAGGAGCAAUUCGUUCAACGACGGGACCGCGUCCCAUUAGCUAGAUGGUGGGGUAAUGGCCUACCAUGGCAACGAUGGGUAGCUGGUUUGAGAGAGCGACCAGCCACACUGGGACUGAGAGACGGCCCAG